CAUUGCGAUUCGAAAUGGAUAUUUAGUGCUAUAAAAUAAAAAAAUUAAUAUGUAACACCAAUUUUAUAAUGUGUACUGGACAGCCUGCAGUAAGUUUUACCACUCCACUAGAAAACAAAAGACGGAAAAGCAACCAACGCACAGCCCAGAGUGUCACGUCAUCGCUUGGAUUCCCGCGACAUUGUCAACAAUACGUUUGUGGAUGAACUAACAUUGACUGAACGGAGAAUUGAAAACUUAUCAACAAGCUCAGAAGUUCAUAAAGGACAAAUAUACUACUUAUGGAGCACUACUUAUUAGUACCGUAUACAAGCGUCGCUAAUCGACGACUGUCAUUCUCUUUAUGUGGCACAAGGCAUCAAGCCGCAUCAAGCGUUCUUCGAAUGUUUAACGCAAAGUGUUUAGCGCUAAACAUUCUUCGAGGAGACGAAGAAAUCCCACGCAUACAGAAAGAAAAAAAAGCCGAUGUAUGGUCGGCGUUGCUGGUAGCCUCAGCCGAGAGGUGCAGUG
Molecule: long non-coding RNA, 510 nt
Organism: Acromyrmex echinatior (Panamanian leafcutter ant)
Lineage: Eukaryota; Metazoa; Arthropoda; Insecta; Hymenoptera; Formicidae
Gene: Eaf
Source: RefSeq, a predicted model, not a curated record